Molecule: long non-coding RNA, 623 nt
Filed under: Panax ginseng (ginseng)
Lineage: Eukaryota; Viridiplantae; Streptophyta; Magnoliopsida; Apiales; Araliaceae
Description: long non-coding RNA (PGIN_LNC001815)
Source: RNAcentral
AGGCUCAGAGCUCGAAAUUUAAAUUACCAAAACUUGCUUAACAUGCAUUAUAUUUUCUACAUCAUCACAUCAAACAUGUAGAAACAAUGUUCUUCUCUAUUACAAUACCAAUUAUCAUAUUCAUACUUCAACAUUCAUUUGAAUUUCUAAGUUUUAGAAAUUAAUUUCCAUUUGAACAUUUCAACAAAUACCUAAAGGACAUGAUUAUCAAGUCCAGAUUUCCAUUUGAACUUAUUCUCAGCGCAACUAAAAUACAUAUAUAGGUAUUACCUUUAGUUUACCUUCAAUGCUUGGUUUGUAUUCUUCAAUAUUCCUUCUUAAUCCUUCAACUCUAACUUAAUUCAUCGAAAGUAAUCUUGAGAGAACAGAAAACUUACUAAAAGUUUUAUAUGAAUAUGGAGUGAAUACUUUAAAAACAAGGAGCUACAUAAUUGAGUGUAGGUAUAUAUAUAAAGACCUUAUUCUUGAGCUGUACGUUUUGUAGCUUGGAUGACUAUCAAGCCUAGUACCCCUUUAACCUUACAGCUCCUGCUUGAUAUGUUGUGACUCAACUAUCUAAUCCAAUAAUCAGUCAGCUCAUGCUAGCCUUACAUACAAAUAUAAUUCUAAUACUAUUUUUAAAU